Molecule: long non-coding RNA, 1416 nt
Organism: Hippocampus zosterae (dwarf seahorse)
Lineage: Eukaryota; Metazoa; Chordata; Actinopteri; Syngnathiformes; Syngnathidae
Exons: 6
Source: RefSeq, a predicted model, not a curated record
UAGAAGUCCCAUGCGGAAGCGUGGCAGACCACUUGGCGCCCGUCGGUGGGCUUCUCCAGCAUGGAUUUGUCCCAGAACUCUUUUGGCAUUGGCAGCAGCCCCAGAGAGCUUCACACUCGCCGACUGGCUCGGAAAGUCAAGUGAAGCGAAGCCUACCUGAGGUACCACCAUUCUGCGUUGUAUCGCUCCGGGGGGAUGUUGCCCCCAAAUACGCCCCAUCUCCAUUGGUCGAUAAGGUAGCCAAAAGGAAGGAAGGCUAUCUUCUCCAGUGCCAUCUUUAACAGGGUCGGACGUCGCCGACUGCAGCAGUCCGAUGGUCUUCAGGUGUUUGGGGGUGGAGACGGACAGAGAUAGGACGUCGCCGAUGGCUUCGUGAAAGCCGGGGUUGGCCCCGCCGCGGAAGCCCACGGGUUGGUCCUUGUACUGGAGGCUCAACGCUUUUGAGGCACAAGACACGUUCUGCGCCGUGACCCUGCUUGGCUUUGGCAUGGCGGGGGGGGGGGGGGGGGGGGGGGCGCCUGCAUCUCCACCUGUUCUCCAAGACUGGAUGCGAUACAGAAUUCCUGCUGUGACAGCUGUAUCAGCACAGACAUCACAAUAAAAGCCUCAGAUCGGGCAGGAUCAGCAUCCGGAGGCCAAUCCGAGCACGGGGAGAUAAGAUACGAUCCAGCAGCUGAGCCGAGAAGAGACUUGUCACCACCUCGCGGACCGGCACAAGGAGGGACACGGCAUACUUUGCUCUCUGGCUGAAGCUUUUGCAAAUGCGUGCACACUUUCAAUGGUGGCAGAUGUGUGCUGACUCCUACUUAACAUCGGUUUGAAUGGUAGAAAUACUCCCUCAGGGAAAAAAAAGUACCGGUAAGUUCAGGUAAGUCAUUGAAAAGCCCUCAAUGAAUACGCGAAGACAUUUGUAGGUAGCACUGCAACAGCGUCUCGUUAUUUUAUCACUUGUGGUCAAAAGGGUGUCUUGUUAUGAGAUUCAAUUUAACCGAAGCGUUGAGCAUCUGACACAUUUCUACAUCAAAGUGUUUACACACCUGUGGUUGUGGUUCCGAGCCAACCAAAUUUGCACGUUGUCACACAGCUCAAUACGGUCCCAAAUAGUCACUUGAUAAGCUCACGCAUGGGAAUUUCUUUCUAACGUGCCGAUGGUUUUCCCAUUCCUGGAUUUUUUUUUAUUUUUUUUUUAGAUGCAGAGCGUUGCUGUCCCAACUCCAGUGGAAUCUCGCUGAUUUUUUUUUGAACUGUGUAGGGUAACUGGCCAUCCGCCCACAGGGACACACACUUGGUGCGGUAAUUGGUCGACUUCCAACUGUUCCGACAACAUUUCCUGAAAAACAUGAAGCGCUUUGACUCUGUUGUUCCACUUGUCAAGUGGCACUGCUGCCCUCACACUGGCUACUUUUUAGGAACCAG